GACGAACGCUGGCGGCGUGCUUAACACAUGCAAGUCGAACGGAAAGGCCUCAGCUUGCUGGGGUACUCGAGUGGCGAACGGGUGAGUAACACGUGGGUGAUCUGCCCUGCACUUCGGGAUAAGCCUGGGAAACUGGGUCUAAUACCGGAUAGGACCAUCGCUUAGUGUCGGUGGUGGAAAGUUUUUCGGUGCAGGAUGAGCUCGCGGCCUAUCAGCUUGUUGGUGGGGUAAUGGCCUACCAAGGCGUCGACGGGUAGCCGGCCUGAGAGGGUGGACGGCCACAUUGGGACUGAGACACGGCCCAGACUCCUACGGGAGGCAGCAGUGGGGAAUAUUGCACAAUGGGCGCAAGCCUGAUGCAGCGACGCCGCGUGGGGGAUGACGGCCUUCGGGUUGUAAACUCCUUUCAACCAUGACGAAGCGGAAGUGACGGUAGUGGUAGAAGAAGCACCGGCUAACUACGUG
Molecule: ribosomal RNA, 465 nt
Filed under: uncultured bacterium
Lineage: Bacteria
Description: bacterial SSU rRNA
Rfam family: Bacterial small subunit ribosomal RNA
Source: RNAcentral